GUGAAUCAUCGAAUCUUUGAACGCAAAUUGCACUCUCUUUGGAGAGUAUGCCUGUUUGAGGGUCAGUAAUAAUAAAAUCGGGGUGUUGCUCUUUUGUGACACAACGGAGUUUGGGCUACCUUUGACUUUCUGGUUUUAAGCGACUUAAAAUUUUCUUUUUGGUUCCAUGAACGUUUCUAAGAUUUAUUUCUUUACACGUUUAAGGGUAUCGAUUUUUAUUAGACGUGACCAUCAUAUCGGAUCGCGUCCAUAAUCUUUCAUUAACUGACCUCAGACAGGUAAGAGUACCCGCUGAACUUAA
This 301-nucleotide unclassified non-coding RNA is filed under the name Glomeraceae sp. Its description in RNAcentral is "partial contains 5.8S ribosomal RNA, internal transcribed spacer 2, and large subunit ribosomal RNA". The stretch from base 1 to 65 matches the Rfam family "5.8S ribosomal RNA", at positions 84 to 154 of the family's 154-position model. The record is from RNAcentral. Lineage: Eukaryota; Fungi; Glomeromycota; Glomeromycetes; Glomerales; Glomeraceae.